Molecule: small RNA, 587 nt
Filed under: Pongo abelii (Sumatran orangutan)
Lineage: Eukaryota; Metazoa; Chordata; Mammalia; Primates; Hominidae
Description: processed transcript
Source: RNAcentral
AGACUCUGAGGAAGAGUUUGUCCCUAAUUCAUUCUUAGUUAAAAGUGGCUCCGCCAGCCUGGGGGUCGCGGCGAAUGAUCACCCGGGCGGCCUGCAGAACCACGCGCGGCUCCGGACGCCGCCGCCGCCGCUCUCGCACGCCCACACCCCCAACCAGCACCACGCGGCCUCCAUUAACUCCCUGAACCGGGGCAACUUCACGCCGAGGAGCAACCCCAGCCCGGCCCCCACGGACCACUCGCUCUCCGGAGAGCCCCCUGCCGGCGGCGCCCAGGAGCCUGCCCACGCCCAGGACAACUGGCUGCUCAACAGCAACAUCCCCCUGGAGACCAGAAACCUAGGCAAGCAGCCAUUCCUAGGGACAUUGCAGGACAACCUCAUUGAGAUGGACAUUCUCGGCGCCUCCCGCCAUGAUGGGGCUUACAGUGACGGGCACUUCCUCUUCAAGCCUGGAGGCACCUCCCCGCUCUUCUGCACCACAUCACCAGGGUACCCACUGACGUCCAGCACAGUGUACUCUCCUCCGCCCCGACCCCUGCCCCGCAGCACCUUCGCCCGGCCGGCCUUUAACCUCAAGAAGCCCUCCA